AAAUUGAAGAGUUUGAUCAUGGCUCAGAUUGAACGCUGGCGGCAGGCCUAACACAUGCAAGUCGAACGGUAACAGGAAGCAGCUUGCUGCUUYGCUGACGAGUGGCGGACGGGUGAGUAAUGUCUGGGAAACUGCCCGACCGA
This 143-nucleotide ribosomal RNA is filed under the name Citrobacter amalonaticus. Its description in RNAcentral is "partial 16S ribosomal RNA". It matches the Rfam family "Bacterial small subunit ribosomal RNA", at positions 1 to 137 of the family's 1533-position model. Lineage: Bacteria; Pseudomonadati; Pseudomonadota; Gammaproteobacteria; Enterobacterales; Enterobacteriaceae. The record is from RNAcentral.